RNAcentral lists this ribosomal RNA (253 nucleotides) under uncultured bacterium. RNAcentral's name for it is "partial 16S ribosomal RNA". It matches the Rfam family "Bacterial small subunit ribosomal RNA", at positions 524 to 776 of the family's 1533-position model. The record is from RNAcentral.
UACAGAGGGGGCAAGCGUUGUUCGGAAUUACUGGGCGUAAAGGGCGCGUAGGCGGACAGUUUAGUCAGAGGUGAAAGCCCAGGGCUCAACCUUGGAAUUGCCUUUGAUACUGACUGUCUUGGGUUCGGGAGAGGUGAGUGGAAUGCCGAGUGUAGAGGUGAAAUUCGUAGAUAUUCGGCGGAACACCAGUGGCGAAGGCGACUCACUGGCCCGAUACUGACGCUGAGGCGCGAAAGCGUGGGGAGCAAACAGG